This 1679-nucleotide long non-coding RNA is filed under the name Sus scrofa (pig). RNAcentral describes it as "lncRNA (ENSSSCG00035045112.1)". Lineage: Eukaryota; Metazoa; Chordata; Mammalia; Artiodactyla; Suidae. The record is from RNAcentral.
ACACCUGGGCGGCCAGCGGCGAGUCCCGGGCAGCCGCCCGACCCGCGGCGCUCUGCCCAUCUUGCAGGGAAGUGGUCAUUGUCGCCGGUCGGGGGGCUCAGGCGUCAUGGGAGACCCGGCGCGGGGGGAGAAGGAGGUCGGGCGGCUGGAGGCGAGGUGCCGGCUCGGCAGCCGGAGCGCGCUGCAGAUCACCUCAGCUGUCGCCGGGCCGCCAUGACAGGCCCCACCGUGCCGGGAGGCCAGGGGGCCAGGCUUAUUGGUAACCAGCUACUCAACUGGACUCUCUCCUAAUGGCAUCAAUCACACUAUGAAAGAUUUCUUUUGGACUUUUUGUUUAUCCAGAUGAAGAUGACCGGCAGGAAGUUGGGAUGUGAGACUCGCUUGAAAAAUCUCGGCUGGAAUCACCUAUUUGGGAUUCUUGUGCAGGUAGGCAAUAAUUGAAAAUCAUAAGGUAGAUGAGAUUAUCAGAAGCAAAGGUAUGAGAAGUGAAAAGUAAAGAUGAAUAAACCUCAGGCAGGAACAUUUAGGGGACAGAAGGAGGAAGAAGAAGCCUCAAAGUAGACAGAGAAGGUGGGGUCAAAGAGGUAGGUAGUUAUUACUUCCCUCAGGGGGUUAUUUCUGCUAGUUUCAAGACUGAGAACUACUGUCUUAGUUUAAUGAUAGAAAAUGAUGGAAAUAGCUAGGAGGAAGUAAGUUGGUAAAUAUGGAUUAGGCCAAGGCAAAUUUGAUGCACUGAAUAGAAUUUUUUGCAGCCAUUUACUUUUAAAACUUCUUUUUACAAUGCUACUUCAAAAUUGGUUUAUUUUCCCAGGUAUCCCCCCACACACUUUUAAAUAAAAGUAGUAGGCGCUACUAGUAGAUAAAGAAUUCCUGAUAAAUUUUUUAAACAUUCAGGAAUAUUCUGCUGAGUUUUAAACUUGUUUCAAAUGUGAAUUGUAUCACUAGCAAUUGAUUUUAUAGUAGACUUUGAAUCAAAAAUAGUCAGUUAAUUGAAUGAUUUUAUCUCAGCUACUAAUGUACACUUUUCUCUUUCUAGUAUUUUGUAUCUGAAAUACUAAUCCCUCUUUGCCCUCUGGUUUUCAGUCUUUAGUAAGUUAGAUAAUAACAUUUUACUUUUUAAAAAUUUCAAUUUGACAUAAGUGCAGUUUCUUCUCUAAACUUUAAUAGUGCUAAAGCCACAGAAAUACUCUUCAAUAUUCAGAUUUGGGGGGGGGGAGUCGAUAAACACCCAGUGUAUUUCUAUUGUAUCAGUAUGUGAUGCUUCUACAGAAAGCAAAAAAAAGUGAAAAAAUAAUUUUAUUGCUCAAGAUCAAAACUUAUUUGCUGUCUUUUUUUUUCCUUUGAAGUAUACAUGAUUUAACAUAUUAUAUUAGUUUCAUGUGUACAACAUAGUGAUUCUAUAUUUUGUAGAUUACACAUUAUGCAAAGUUAUUGUAAAGUAUUGACUAUUUCCUGCGUUUGCUCAAUCUUAAUAAAAAUAUGCAUAAUUCAGGAAUUCCUGUCAUGGCUCAGCACUAAUGAGUCUGAUUAAUAUCUAUGAAGAUGUGGGUUUGAUCCCUGGCCUUGCUCAGUGGGUUAAGGAUCCGACGUUGCUGUGAGCUGUGGUGUGGAUCACAGAUGCAGCUCAGAUCUGGCAUUGCUGCAGCUGUGGUAUAGGCCAGCAGCUACAGCUCUGAUUU